CGAUGGGGGCCAAGAGAUUCUCGCUCCUCCCAUCAAGAAAGAGAUUCUCGCUCCUGCUUUCCUAUCUCUCUCUCCCCUCUUUCUUCUCUACUUGAAACUUCUUGUUUCGUUGUGGUGAGAUCUCUUAGAUCCAUUUAUACUUCUGUUUUUCUAGAUCUGAAGGACGUUUCCGUGAUUUCUACGAAAAGGAUUGUGGAUUUUGUUCAAUUUUUUUCAAUUAAUCUGGUGUCUCUGUCUGUUUUCUCGAUCUCCGGCGUGAAACGGUUUCAUUUCAAGGAGUUGUCUCUCAUUUUUAGCAAAUCUUUGGCCUCUAGGAGUGGGGAGCAAGGCUCCAUUCUCUCUUUUCCAUGACUCGUGGAAGAGAGGGAUUUGGCUAUUUUUAGUUAGAUUUCGGGUCUUAGAAUCUUCUUCUUUUGUUCUUCUGGUAAGAUAUUUCAGCUAGAUCUGGUUCUCACUAACUUCGAUUAUCACAGAAAUUUUUUGUUGGAUCUGUUCCUCAAAUCUUCAUCUCCUUGGCUUUCUUCUUCUUCUUCUUCUUCUUCUUUUCAAACUUUCCUCCUGAUCUGAGAUGGAGUGGUUGAAUCACCUUGGGGUGGAUCUGAGACUUCAAGAACGUAAAGAUAUGAUGCACUUGCAUAAAAAGAAUAUGAGGAGAUGAUGGGUUGGGUUGGGUGCUUUGGCCGGGCAUUGUCGGCUGACAACGAGAGAGAGCACGCCGGUCGGCAGUCCUGCACGGUGCCAUGGCUGUGUACCAGCGUGCUCUUUCUCGGUGUCACCCCAGUUCUCCCCACAAAGCUUCUCCUGAUCAAUUCCUUUGGAUCAAAACGUACAUUUGGAGUGUGCUGGCUCAAAGAAGGUGCCCUCUUCGGCUAUCCUUGCUAAAGGUACUUGCUUUAAUCUAUGCUGCAAUUCAUCCUUUUGGUUGAGAUAAAUUCUUGUUGAUUUCAAGUUACUUUUACUUUGAGUUGGAAGUGGAGGAUCUUUGGUGUUCUAGGGAUGUACUAGUUUUGCGAAUUAUUAGGUCUUCGAGUUACCUUUACAUGAUGAAUCUUCUGUAACUUUGGGGGAUGAAAAGCAAGCGAUGAAAUGACUGCUUAAGAUAAAUUCAUGAUUUUUAUUUGGACGAUGUGUUAUUUAUUCAUGUGAUACUAGAAAAUGUGGUUGUUUUUAAGAAACUCUUUGUCCAGGUUGAUGCUCUUAACAGAGAUCUUAUGCUACUUUUAUGCUGGUAAAGUAGACAAUACUUCAGGUUCCUUCUUUAUGUCUUGGAGUGUUUGUUUCUAUCUUGUAAGUAGGAGCUUAAGGAUUUGUAUCUUUUAUCUUAUGAUUUAAUUUUUAAUGUCCUUAGCAACUGGAUGUUGUAGGUAAAAGUCAGGACAAGUUUUAGUAAAGUUUUUGUCUUUAGCAAUCUUCACUGCAAUAGGUGGAGCAAAAUGUUUCUGGCUUUCAUAAACUUUGAAUUGUAUUAGGGCUUUCUUUCCUAACUUUAAUUUGGAAAAAAAAAAAAAAAUCGUAUGGAUAGGCGAACUGUGGAUUGUUGACGUAUAAGUGUGUUAUUGAAUGGUAGCCCUCUUCCUCCAGUCCACAUUUCUCGAGCAUCAUCACGCCUCUUCUCCACUGAAUAACAUUGACUGGUACUUGGGAAUUUGGUUUAUGCAUGUGUGUUGAUAACACAGGCACCCUCUAUGACAGCUUGUAAGAGCAGCACUUCGUGGCAUCUUGUGGGCUUGGAAGAUUGAGUUGUGGGAGCUAAUUGGGUCUACAAAAUGAAGUGAAUUUGUUAGACCGGUAACAGCGUGAUGACUAUGGAAUACAUUAGUAUUUGUCUACAACUUAUUAAGCUAAUAAUUUUCGUACUUUUUUACGCAUUAGAUUGGCAACUGUUCAUAACAGAUGACUUAAGCUACUUAAUUAGCUCAAGAUACCCGAAAAGUUCAGGGUAAGAAGGUCAUCUUACUUGCUUAUUUCUAAGUUUUACAUGGAUAUUCCCACGUAAUUUGAGCAGAUGGUUGCGCUAUAAUAUUUAUGCAUUGCUCAGCUUAGCUAGCCAAAAAAGUGAAAAACAAGGGUUAACUGGGAAAUGACAUGUUGAACUAUCCGUUCAAGGAUUUCUCUUAUUCAUGUAAUGCAAACACAUAAAUACGUUAGCUAAUUUAUCUGCUAUAGAUGGUUUCUUAAAAGAAAUGGAUUUGAUAAUUUUAAGCCGGCUUGACAAUGGUUGCUCAGAUGUUUACAAGAUGGAGGACUGAUGGAGCCCGUUUUCCCACUAGCGAUGGUUUUCUUUUGCUUGUCAUGAUACCAAGGAAUUUUGUUCUUCCUAAGAGUCAAUGAAGUCAGUGGUGGUGUUCUUAAGGUCAACUAAGUGACACAGAGGAUAGGCAUUGAAAUGUUUAUUCCUACUUAUGAAUAAUUUAUGUAACUUAUGCGUGGGCAUGAGCUCUUUCAGAAUUUCAUUUUUUUCUUUUGAUUGGAUUUUGUUUCACAUUUUACAUAAUUCAUAACGAGCUACAUUCAUGUUCUGAUUCAUUUAAGUACAUCAUGAUUCCAGCAUAAACGCUCACAUUUGAGUUUCCAUAUGUAAUAAUCCCAUUGUGGCAUUGUAUAUAUAUUCUGCAUAAUUUGGUUAUAUACGACUUUGACUUUCACCAGUAUUUUUUCAUUUAGUUGUUCUCCUAGUUAUCAAAUUUAAAGUUUCUGUUGGUUACCUCCUGUAGACUGCUAUUUAGAAGUUUUUGUGCAAGUUCUACAAAACCUUUUCCUUCCUCAUUAAGGCAGCUUUUUUGAUUGCUAUGCUUAGACUUUUUCACAUAAUGUGUUGAUGCAAGUAUUUAAUCUUUGGUCUACAGAAGACCCUUAUGAGUAACGUUUACUAUUGUGAAUGUAUGCUUUUCUAUUGGCUUGUCAUCUGAUUUUACAUUUUCCAAGUUUCAUUUUAUUAAGAAUAUUUUAAUAUCCUCCAUGCAGCUUAUGCCCUUGACAUCAAAUCCCAGACAACUCUCCAAGCCCAAUAUGAUAUAGAGUCAUUAAGAGAUAUGACCAUGAUCUUCAUACAACUGGGUGCAUAUGACCUAUGGAACUUGUCAGCACCAAUCUGCAAUGCACAAGAUAUUGUCUUCAAGUUUGAGCCCUAGGAUGUACCAGUUAUUGUCAAAAUUUUAAGUGCUGCUGUAGUUUCAUAAGCUUCUUUUAAUGAAUCUAGUUGCUUCUGAUGGCUAAUUUGCUACUGUCAUUACCAAUCAUAGAGUGAUAAAAUCUACAAUAUUGAUGGUUGAAGUAGUUAGUACAUAAUUGGGUGUCUAUAUUAUUGAUAUAAAACUACAAUAACUGUGUUAUAUAUAUCAUAAUUGUGGCUCAAGGAAAGAAAUAAAUGCAAUAUUUUGAUGAAUUAGAUUUGGUAGUGCCAGAAAUAUUAGAGAGGGAAAAAGUAUAAUUGGUAGACAAUUGAAUGGUGUAGGGAAAGGUAGUACGGUAACAUGGCAUUUAGAGACAUAAAUUGGAGCAAAGAAUGAGCUCAAAGAUGCAACCCUUGAAACUCUAGUGUUGCAUGACAUUGUGUAACAAUCUUCACCUUUUCUUUUUGGAAGAAGGUUGCAAUGACUUCUAGAUGGGGUAGGACCCAGUAAAUGAAACAUAACAAGUCCGAAGUUAAUGUUGGAGAUGUUUUGACUCAAAAUAAAUUGGUGGUCAUGCAUCAUCUACUAAAUUAUAAAGAAUGCUGUGAGAGUUAAAAGUCAUCUAGUGUGAAAACUAUUGUUUCUAAAAUCACAAGAGAUCCAGUUGGAGGUCAUAUAAUUUAAGCAUGUGUUGAUGGAAUAUAAUGGAGGUAAGGCUAUAAUAAUUGCACAUAUUACUAAGAUAGAUCAAGAUGGUACUCCCGAAGUUUGUGAAUGGUCAGUUUUUGGAAUUAGAAAUGAGAUGGGAUGCGCAACAUUUGAAUUUGUUAUGGUGCGCAAUCAUGUAAUACAAGAUACCUAUAUUAGAAGGCAUAUAGUGAGGUUCAAUUGUGGUAGUGCAAUUGCAAUUCUUAGUUUUUUCUUAGAGUAAAUGAAUUACUUUUGAAGCUUAUACAAAUUACUUUUGAGAGAGAGUUCAAUGAUUCAAAUGGAUUUUCCCUUGAGGUUUGUCAUUGAUUGCUCUUUUUAAACUAAAUGGAUGUGUUACUAGAGCAUGAUUUCCUCAAUCAUCUUCCUUAGUUAUAGACUUGCAAACUUAGGAAAUACUACUAAUUUGAGAAAGUAAAGGGGUUAUGUGGGGGCAUAUUUUGGAUAUUAGUGGAACAUGAUUGCACUUUUACAAUAUACAGGAAAAAUUCUUAUGGGUUAAAUGCAUGCUAAAAAUUGUUUGAAAGUGGUGAGAGAUAGUAGAUAUGCAAACACUAGAUGGUGGUUGGCAAGCUAAGGGAGUAGCUAUAAUUCUGGAUAUUGAAUGUGUAGCUAUAGUUCUUUGGAGUCAAACUACUAAAGAGCAAUUCUGGAUCUUAAAUGCACAUUAAUUGUGCAUAGUGUGUCCAAGGUUAUUAAUCCAAGAAGAAGAUAUGGUGAAUUGCAAUGGUAUAGAAGUUUUGAUUUGUAAUUCCUCUAAAUAAAUACAUCGAAUUAAUUGAUGAUCAUCAAUAAAGGUGCUGCUCAAAUUCUUGAAGUGAAGAAUGUAUGAAUAUAGGAGAAACAAAGGAGAUUAUGAAAGAGUUAGUGACGUCUGAUAGUUGUUAAAAAAUAGUUGUCUUACAUCUUUUAAUAUGCAAAGGUACUUUAUUAGAAAAAAAAGCAUUGCCAAUGAGACUUGUUUCCAAUUGUUGACAUCCUUUUCGUAAGGUCCUACUUUUAGGAGAGGUGAGGAUUCAAAGUUGCAGGUGGGAUGCUGCCUUCAUAUUGUUCAAAAUAAGCAUUUGGUUGCACCAUUUCAUUAUUUUUUCCUAUAAAAGGUAUGUCAAAAAUCUUUUUAGAGCUUUUUUAGAUGUUUGAUUAUCUUGGUAUCAAGUUCUGCAAUCUCAAUACCAAUAUAAGGUAUGGUUUUAAGGCAAACCGUACUAACACUUGAUGCAUAGAUAUGUAUCGAUUCAAUCAAGAUUUGCCAUAUUGGUCGGUACGCACUUGAUAUGUAGAUCUAUAGUAUGGUCGGUACAUAUAGUCCAUACUAUAUUGGUAUGGAGUCGGUAUGCAGUACAAGGGCCGUAUCGAUACUCAGUACAUGGAAGCGGAUACCAUACCAGAUAUACCGACCUAUAAUAGGAUGACAUCAGUAUGGGAUUUGGUAUUGAGACAAAGGACCUUUGUUUCAAUAUUCCUACAUUUUUCUUUUUCAAUUUUUUGAUUUUCAAGGUUAUUUGAUCUUUAAAUUAUGAUUUUAAGGAUAUUUUUAUAUUUUUAAUUCAUAUUGAUCUUAGGAGAUUGUAUGAAUGCUUAAUCGAUGCAAUUAUAUUCUUCAAACAUAGAUUUAUAAUAAUUAAAGAUAGACAAUGCAUAUUUUUAAACUUGAAAAUAUAUACAUCAAAUUGAUUUGGAUUAAGUACAUAUAUAUAUCGUUAUUUAGUUCCUCAUGAUGUGUCUAUAUUGCUUGUAGAUAUAGGGACCUUCUUUUAUAGUUAGGGCCUUGGGCUUGACCCCAACCUAGAUAUUGUGCCUAUUCCUGCAUUCGAUCAUCUGAGCUUCCUAAAUAGACAUCCUGGCAUUGAUCUUUUGUUCAAUACUAGGCUGGUCAUUCUAAAAAAUCACAGCAACAAAGGAUAUGCAUAUGGGCCAUAUUCCGGCUAUGUAGGAUAGGAUCUAGUAUAUGAUGAGGAUCCAGAUACAUCUGGAGACCUUACUCUACAUGUUAUACCGUCACCUCCAACAAUGCUAUGUCCUCAACUACCUUAAGGGGCCUAUCUUCUAUAUUAUCAUAACUUCACAGGCCUUACGAUGUGCAUUGUCCUAUUUUGCAUGGCAUGAGUGAAAUGUAACUCGCGAGCAAAUCGACUCAGACUAGAUGAUUGUGAGUCAUAUGCACUCUCAUCACAAAUGCAUCAUCACUCGUAUUGUAAGAUGAUCUAGGCAAUUGAUCAACUAAAGGGAUGACAUCAAACUUUGAGUGAAUGAGCUUCUUAUCAACCCUCUCCAAUGGAUUGGAAACUUUCUUCCCUUUACUAUGUCUUGCUACUUUGAGAAACUAUUUUCUUUCCCCUAGCUAACCCCCUGCCGUGUAUGGCUCUAUUGGGUGGCUUAAUUAGACCUACCACCCUAACUGGCCCCACCUCCUUUACUGGAUUGGGUGCCAUGUAAUCUCUUCUUAGUAUCUCCCUAUCAUAUCUUUGGGUAGAUGUGUUAAUACAUGGAGCUUUGCGAUCUUGAUUGGCUACCUCCUAGGAGGUCAAGGUGGUUGUUUAGGAUGUAACAACCAUCUCUUGAAAUUUGGGAGUCUUGAUAUCGGUCACAUAGAGCUAUUGGUGGAACUAAGGGGGUAUUUGGUUCGUAAUCGAAAUCGAAAUGGGAAUGAAAAUCGGAAUGACUUAGAAUCGAAAUCAGAAUGGUCAAAUCUUCCGAAGCAUUUGGUUCGCAAUCAGAAUCGGAAUCGGAAUUGAAAUAAAAAUUUGAAUCCACAGAGAAGAGUAGGGAUUGAGUUCUAUAUAGAUUGAGUCAUUCCCAUUCCAUCCUGGAAUCGGAAUCGAAAUGAGACUCCUCCCAACCAAACGAUUGGAAUGGGAGUCACCUAUUCCGAUUCUGAUUCCAGACCCUCAUUCUUCCCAACCAAACAAACCUUAAAUGGAUUGGUAGGUGUUUAUGAUGACCUUCACCAUUACUUUGCAAGGGUAAAAUGGAGGUGGGAUUCCGAGAGUUUACUCUCUAAGAUAUGUCCACAAGUGUUUAAACCAUGGGAACGUACCAAUCUAGUGGCUGAGUAUGCACGAUUGUGCGGUGCUAGAGAAAGACAAGAUGUUCCAUUGUCUGGUAAUCAACAAGAAGCUAUAGUUUGGUGAAGUACCAUCUCAAAAAGGAUGGAAGAUCAGUUGAGAUUAUUAUAUAAUUUGCAUUGCAAUCUUGGAAUCUAGAGUUCAUAGUUUCUGGUAUGUUCAGCACCUAAAAGGAACCCAGCUGAAUAUCCCAAGCCGAGCCUGCCGUUUUAAAUCCCUAUGGAUGGCUUGGUGAAGGUAGCUAGUUUGGAGUCAACCCCAUCCAACAUAGGUCCAUAACCUUGAUCAUUUGGAAAGGAAAAUAUGAAGUAUAAAGAACGAGGAACCAAGAACUUGUAGCAAUUUAUGUUUUGGGAAGCUCUCGUAGCUCAAUGUAGCAUGGGUGCCUUUCCAGUGGCAAGAAAGAAGUAUAAAGAAUGAGGAACUGGGAACAUAUAGCAAUCUAUACUUUUUCAUCUUAGGAAACUCUAGUGGCUUAAUGUAGUAUGGGUGCCUUUACAGUGGCUUAAUGUAGAGCAUGGGAGCUUUGGACGAUGGGGCCCCGUCUAGGUCAUUUUAAUGUCCUCUAUUCAUUCUUUUUUAUCUUAGAAGAAAACAAAGAAAUAAUGCGAUGAGUUUAUCCACAACAAGAUUAAAUGAAUUGAGUGUACGCAGAAGAAGAUGAUUCUUUUUAAAUACAUUUCGAUUUUUGGUACUUUUGGGUUGGGAAGGCCUAAAAUUUAGCUAGAUCAACUUGACCGAGGCAUGGCUAGUACAUCAUAGCAUACAUAACCGCAUUUGUGCAAACUUUGCAGACAAGUUGAAGUCAAAUAAUUUCAGUUCAGCAUAAACACUCUAAACCUUCCAGUCAACAGCGUAAGAUGGAACGGUUAUUUUCACAUUUUGUCAAGAAAAUUCAACAUUAAUACAUGAGUAAGCUUUAAGUUUCUACUUAUUGCCCAUUAUGAGCAAACAGCAAUCUCCUAAAAUGAAUAAAAUCAAGGCAUGGAACUAAAGGAAGUACUGUCUAAGAGAGAUCUAUGUGCAAGAGCUAGGGUCAUGCGUGCAUGGAAGUAGGGUGUCCUAAAAGCCCAAGAAAUUAGUGGAUUUUAAUUGACAUCUGAACAUAAUGUCGCUCAAAUAGGUUACAAUGUGCGUAAAAUGGUGAUAAAAGAAUGCAGAAGAAGGAAGAAUUAAAAAGAAAUAUUAUUUGUAUGGAAGGAUACGUCAUUAGAGAGGAUGCUUGCAUAGUCUUCCACACGUUGUUAGGAAAGGACAAAUCUUAGUAUAUCAUGUCUUCAUAAUCCAAAAAGUAUUGGGAGAGGAACGAGUACAGAAUCUCAGAAAAGGACCCUUUUUGUUACUGUUUGGGAGAAGCGGAGAGUUGUGUGGCUCUAUAAGUCGUUUCGUAAGACUACUUAAUAGACUAGGAAUCCC
Molecule: non-coding RNA, 8302 nt
Organism: Elaeis guineensis (African oil palm)
Lineage: Eukaryota; Viridiplantae; Streptophyta; Magnoliopsida; Arecales; Arecaceae
Source: RefSeq, a predicted model, not a curated record